AGAGCGGGUGCUCCUCUUUCCAUUAGACGAUCUUUGACGCUCUCGGUGCAGAAAGCAAGCCUGAAAAACACCACAAACACGCUGCGUUCGCUCUAAAACGUCUGAGCCUCUGGAAACGUUCGUCUCUCCCCCUCACGGACGUCAAAGCAAGAUAAGGUUUAGUCUGAUCCCAGGAAAGCGUGUGAGGAAGGAAGGAAAUGAGGAACCUAGGAAAGGACGAAGGAGAGAGGCUGAGCGGCGUAGCUGCUAGCAUACCACCUCAAUGCGCUAACCUCCAGUACAGCUUCUACUGCUUCCCGCUUUCCAUCCGAGUGGAGCGUCACUCGCGAAGGGAAAAAGAGAAGAUGGACGUCUGAGGUCAGGCUGAGGAUUAGAGGUCAGCAGAUGUUUGCACACGCGCGCGCACACGUGCACGCUAAGAGCCAGCUCCUUAAGCGCUGCAGCAAAAUAAUCCUUCACUUCAACACAAACGCGACAACACGUUUAGAACCUCCCACCACACGCCUGCAGCCAAUCACACGCCACGGCAAUGGAUGAAUGCAUGAACACACAACACAUGGAUGAAUGAAUGGAUGGUUGGACGGAUGGAUGACUUAAUAGAAUGGAUGGAUGAAUGGCUUAAUUGAUGGGUGAAUAGAUGCAUGGAUGGUGGAUGAAUAAUGGGUGAGUGAAUAAAUGAAUGGAUGAGUGGAUUGAUGGAUGGGUGAAUACAUGAAUGGAUUGAUGGAUAGAAGAAUGAAUGAAUAAACGGAUGGAUGAAUGAAUAAAUUAUGAAUAGAUGGAUGAAUGAAUAAACAAUUAUUAGUGGAUGAAUGAAUUAAUGAUGCAAAGAUGGAUGGAUUCAUAAAUUAAUGAAUGAAUAAAUAAAAGGAAUAGAGGGAUGAAUGAAUUAAUGAUGACUGAAUGAAUUAAUUAUGAAUUGAUGGAUGGAUGAAUGAAUUAAUUAAUUAUGAAUUGAUGGAUUGAUGGAUGAAUAAAUGAAUAGAUGGAUGAAUGAAUAAAUGAUGAAUAGAUGAUGAUUGAAUGAAUGAAUGAACGGAUGGAUGUGUUGGAUGCUAGCGAGGGAGAGAAAAAGGCCCCAAAAAGGAAAAGAGUCAUCUGGUCUGUGCAGGAAGGAGGCGGGGCUAAAGGCGAACAAGGCGGCCAUGUUGACAGGCGAUGAUGACCACGAAGACCAGAAAGACUGGAAGAUGAAGACAAAGUUCAUUCUCUGAAUUCUCUGAUGGGUGAAGGCGCGCGGGCGAUAAUGACUUGCGUUAGCAUUAGCGUUAGCAUGAGCAAUCAUUCCUUCGUAUGAAGAAGAAGAGGAAGUGAAUGAGUGAUGGGUAUUUCAGGUACGUGUGCCAGUGGAAGGGGUGCCAGCCGGUUGCUAAACAUUCCCUGUCACCUUAAGAGUCACGCCGGAUGUCGACUUGACAGCCUGUUUAGCUGGAUGGCUAGCGUAAAGCUAGUGAUCCCAGCCCAGGAGGGGAGGCGGGGCUAACUGAAGACUAACAACACAGCAUGUGAAGCAUGGAGGCUACUGAUGCAAGUAUUCUAGUGUUGUCAGCUGGCACACAUCCAUCACGUCCUGCUGCUCUCAUUGUCGUCUUCUUCUUCUUCCGUGUUUGUGCGUUAGUUGCACACUAAAACACAACCAAUCAAAAGCAGGAACUACACGGAGACGCAGCUGGGAACAAAUCACAGAAGGAAGUAAAGCUGCUGCUGCUUCUUCUGUUGUUUUGUUUUUUCAAUUCCCGGCGUGUCUCUCUCAGCUGUCACUUAACAUCACCUGUCAGUCAGAGGCGGUUGCCACGGGAACCGCUCCCGUCCACUUGGCAGAAUGUCCUUUAGCACCCUGAGACGUCCACGUCCUGACCCCGCAUCUCCAGGGACAGCGUGAAGGAUGUCACAGCUGGCAGGAAGCAUCUGCUGACUAGCACUGUUAGCGCCUGUGCUCACUUGUGCCGCUACUGUUAGCAUGGCUGCUUGUAGUACACCAUGUUAGCACAACGACUGCUACUGCUCGUACAUGUACUGCUAGCAUAACUGACACUUUUAGCACAGCCACUGUUAACACAAUUACCACAAGCACUGUUAAUGUUAGCAUGACUACUUAUAGAAAAACUACUAUCGUGAGCAGAACUACUGUCAAAUUACUCAGUUACUCAGACUAUAAAUACAAAUACUGUAACUACUGGUACUCUUAGUGCAACUACUUUUACUGUUAGUACAACUACCAUUUCUGGUAGCAGAAUCACUGUGACUUGGUGGAACUCACAUUAACACUAUUAUUCCUGCUAUAAAUACAAACAUUGUAAUGACAACCCGUAUUUAAAAAACUACUGUAGCUGUUAGCAUAAGUACUGUUUCUGCUAGCACCACAACUGCAGACUCUGUCACUGCCAAUACAACUAGUGUAAAUGUAAGUAGAAGUCGUGGCCACUAAUAGUACUGCUAGCAUCACUGGUAACACAUCUACUGCUAGCAGAGUUUAGGUUAACACAACCACUGUUACUGUUAGCACAUCUGCUUCUGCUAGAGUUAGCAUACUACUUGUGGUGAAGCAGCACCUUUUAAUGAAACAACUGAAAGUUUUUUUGUGCUAUAAAAGAAGAUUAGCAAGGCGUGCAGGCUGCUGUCAGCGCGAGUUAGCAUCUUUGCCACAAAAACUUGUUGUGAGAAUCCCGCGUGAAAGCUUUGUGGCCUCUGCAGCUGCUCCUGUGUUGUUGUGGUAGCACGCGUGUUCUCCGGCACACGGACUUCAGCGUAUGUAGCAGCUGUACAGCUCCUGAACUCUGACCCCUACAAGUGUUCCAGAGCACUCGGGGCAGCAACAUCCGCUUCUGCCGAGUUGUGCCACCUGCUAACCAUACCCGAGGAUGCGCUCGUGGCGUUCGCUGGUACUCAUGCAACCCGAGACGACACGCACACGAAGGAAGACACUUUUUUUUCUCUCUUCUUCUUCGUCUUCAUGCACGCUUCAAGUUUUAGGCUGGUUAGCUCCCAAGGUGCUAACCUGCUGCUAGCCAAACCGUGUUUGCUAACGUUAAGUCACAGUAAUCCUUGGUAAACGUACACCCGACAAAACACCUCCAGAUUCUACCUCAGCAAUCAUUGUGAGCGUUCGCAUUUCAUGCUUUUAUUCUGGAAGAUAUCGUCCUCACACAGCAGCACCGCAGCCGUGUGUGUGUGUGUGUGUGCGUCUGUGUGUGUUUGUGUGUGAGGCCUUAGGCAAGUUUCUGUUCCACUUGGUUGCCAUUGUUUGGAGCAGGUGGCGACACACAAUGACACGCUAACAAAAUGAUGUUUCUCAUGUUUGAGAAUUCUGGACGGACGCACGCGCACACACACACACACACACACACACACACACACACACAGUGUCAGGCCCGCAGGUAAAAAGAAGUAGAAGGUAAAUUAACAAGUCAUUUGUGUAACGUUGCAACACUGACCUUCAGCUAGGAGCUUUAAAUUGGGGGUGUCCAAGGCGUGUGUUUAUUAGCCUGCUGCGUAUUGUCAAAAUAAAACAAUGUAAGGCCUGCUAAAAUGUUAGCAUAGUAAAGGACCCACCCCCCAUCUUUUAAAACAUGCCGUCUCCCACCUGCUGACAAGCCCCGCCCACCUGCCGCUCCGCAUGACAAGCGCCCCGCCCACCUGCCAGCAAGGUUAGUGAGGAUGACGUGUGUGUUGAGGAAUGUGGGAAAGGAAGCGCGUCACACAAAAGCUCCAUUGUGCACACACACACACACACAGAUAGCACCCCCCCAUGUGAUAACAAAAUGCAAACAACCCGUCCAUCAUACGAGUUCCCACAUGCCACCACAUUACCAGAAGAGCACUUAGCUAGCCGCUAAUGAUAGCAGCUAAAACGCUGGCAUCAUCUCGGAUGACAACAUGAUUCACUGACGCUAAGUUAGCUUGACGUCACCUCAGCCAACCGGUGCUGCGUCUCAGAUUGUGCACUUAAGUCUGUUGAGUGCAUGAGUGUGUUGACACCGUUAAGUACGCCCAGACGUACUGCUAAGUACCCACAUGUUGCACUCAAAACACACAAAAUGGUGAGUGUGCCGCCACGGACCCUCACCGCCCUCAGUACUCGCCAUCUUGCCGUCGUAGCGGAAAGAGAGGGGCUAACGCAAGUAGUCGCAAUUAAAAAGGAGAGGAGAAGAAGGUAAAUAUUGUAACGGUCCGUUCCAGUAACGACAGUGAUGGAUGUGGGACAGCACUACACUGCCAGCACUCACACACUCAGUGACUAAGUACACAGUGCACACAGUGUACUAAUGGAAGUACACGGCUAACAUCAUCAAUAUAGUAAUCACUUAUCAACAAUCAAUGUUUGGUCUUUCACAUGCUAGCUAUGUCUCACACACACAUAGUUAGCAUAGCAUCCAUAAAGCUAAUGGAGUCAAAG
This is a long non-coding RNA of Dunckerocampus dactyliophorus (ringed pipefish), 4396 nucleotides long. RefSeq lists it as uncharacterized. The transcript has 3 exons. The record is from RefSeq and is a predicted model, not a curated record. Lineage: Eukaryota; Metazoa; Chordata; Actinopteri; Syngnathiformes; Syngnathidae.